This 340-nucleotide unclassified non-coding RNA is filed under the name uncultured fungus. RNAcentral describes it as "partial contains 5.8S ribosomal RNA and internal transcribed spacer 2". The stretch from base 1 to 133 matches the Rfam family "5.8S ribosomal RNA", at positions 22 to 154 of the family's 154-position model. Lineage: Eukaryota; Fungi. The record is from RNAcentral.
UGGUUCUGGCAUCGAUGAAGAACGCAGCGAAAUGCGAUAAGUAAUGUGAAUUGCAGAAUUCAGUGAAUCAUCGAAUCUUUGAACGCACAUUGCGCCCGCCAGUAUUCUGGCGGGCAUGCCUGUCCGAGCGUCAUUUCAACCCUCGAACCCCUCCGGGGGGUCGGCGUUGGGGAUCGGCCCUCCCUCGCGGGGGCCGGCCCCGAAAUACAGUGGCGGUCUCGCCGCAGCCUCUCCUGCGCAGUAGUUUGCACACUCGCACCGGGAGCGCGGCGCGUCCAAUGCCGUAAAACACCCAACUCUCUGAAAUGUUGACCUCGGAUCAGGUAGGAAUACCCGCUGA